UACGUAGGAGACGAGCGUUGUCCGGAAUCACUGGGCGUAAAGCGCGUGUAGGCGGAUCGGCAAGUCUGCUGUGAAAGCUCCUGGCUUAACCGGGAGUGGUCGGUGGAAACUGCCAGUCUGGAGGACGGUAGAGGUAGGUAGAAUUCCCGGUGUAGUGGUGAAAUGCGUAGAGAUCGGGAGGAAUACCUGUGGCGAAGGCGGCCUACUGGGCCGGACCUGACGCUGAGACGCGAAGGCGUGGGGAGCGAACAGGG
This 254-nucleotide ribosomal RNA is filed under the name uncultured bacterium. Its description in RNAcentral is "partial 16S ribosomal RNA". It matches the Rfam family "Bacterial small subunit ribosomal RNA", at positions 524 to 777 of the family's 1533-position model. The record is from RNAcentral.